UCAUUGUGCUCCCGCUCAGC
This 20-nucleotide non-coding RNA is filed under the name Mus musculus (house mouse). The record is from RNAcentral. Lineage: Eukaryota; Metazoa; Chordata; Mammalia; Rodentia; Muridae.